Molecule: ribosomal RNA, 537 nt
Filed under: ascomycete sp. HKA8
Lineage: Eukaryota; Fungi; Ascomycota
Description: eukaryotic LSU rRNA
Rfam family: 5.8S ribosomal RNA (bases 169-322)
Source: RNAcentral
AGCUGCGGUCGCGGCCCCACGCUUACCCGUGGCGGUACGCGCCGCACGUCUGCACCCCCCUUUAAACGAGUACCUUCGUUCUCCCUCGGCAGGGCAACCUGCCUUUGGAACCAUACAAAACCUUUUUUUGCAUCUAGCAUUACCUGUUCUGAUACAAACAAUCGUUACAACUUUCAACAAUGGAUCUCUUGGCUCUGGCAUCGAUGAAGAACGCAGCGAAAUGCGAUAAGUAGUGUGAAUUGCAGAAUUCAGUGAAUCAUCGAAUCUUUGAACGCACAUUGCGCCCCUUGGUAUUCCAUGGGGCAUGCCUGUUCGAGCGUCAUCUACACCCUCAAGCUCUGCUUGGUGUUGGGCGUCUGUCCCGCCUCUGCGCGUGGACUCGCCUCAAAAUCAUUGGCAGCGGUCCUUGCCUCCUCUCGCGCAGCACAUUGCGCUUCUCGAGGGGCGUGGGUCGCGUCCACGAAGCAACAUUACCGUCUUUGACCUCGGAUCAGGUAGGGAUACCCGCUGAACUUAAGCAUAUCAAUAAGCGGAGGA